UGCCCCUUGGCCCAGUUGGUGAAGGCGCACGACUGUUAUAAGAUUCAAUCGUGAGAUCGCAAGUUCGAACCUUGCAGGGGCAG
Non-coding RNA from Mycena vitilis, 83 nucleotides. The record is from the annotation of a GenBank genome assembly. NCBI's taxonomy places the organism in Eukaryota, Fungi, Basidiomycota, Agaricomycetes, Agaricales, Mycenaceae.